AUUGUGAUGGCACUUUUAUUAUUUCCCUUCGCAUGUUAUUGUUCCAGUUAAUUAUAUUGAGUUCACUGCCCACAUGCCCCUGCAAUUUCGAUCCCCCCCCCCCCUUUCAUCGCGCGUAUGACGCAACGUGACAACAUGAAAGGGCUUCCUGUUCUCUGUUUCUCUCCGAUUGUCCGAUCUGGUAUUCUGCUGGUCUAGAGCUGUUCUACAAUAUUAAAUCCGUAUUAAUCCUGUUGUUGGAAUUAUCAAUCCACACUUGAAAGUAAGUCAACUAUUACUUUAUUAUCAUAUUAUUGUCUUUGUAUUGUCAUGUUUUCGUUAAUUGCGGCUAAAUUAUGUUUAUUAUUGAUCUUUGUCAUCAAGUGUAUUCCCGACUCUCCCGUGGGUAUUUAUGAUUGUCUCUAUACGAAUUUGUCAUAGUGUUUUAUUGAGGAUGUCCUCAUUAGCAGGCAUUUAUAAGAGCCUCUGGGGGUUGCAUCUCUGUGGGAUAAAUAUGUAUUUUAUAGCGACUGGACGCUUUUCGACCAUAGGCAACGCGCUGCAGUGCAUGUGUAUGAUUCUACAAUCUACAUUUCGGAAUGUUUUUGCCACUUUUGGCGUCUCACAUUCGGG
This is a non-coding RNA of Paramuricea clavata, 612 nucleotides long. The record is from the annotation of a GenBank genome assembly. Lineage: Eukaryota; Metazoa; Cnidaria; Anthozoa; Malacalcyonacea; Plexauridae.